CGAUGAGUGNUAGGUGUUAGGCCCUUUCCGGGGCUUAGUGCCGGAGCUAACGCAAUAAGCACUCCGCCUGGGGAGUACGACCGCAAGGUUGAAACUCAAAGGAAUUGACGGGGGCCCGCNCAAGCGGUGGAGCAUGUGGUUUAAUUCGAAGCAACGCGGAGAACCUUACCAGGUCUUGACAUCCCGAUGCUAUUCUUAGAGAUAGGAAGUUACUUCGGUACAUCGGAGACAGGUGGUGCAUGGUUGUCGUCAGCUCGUGUCGUGAGAUGUUGGGUUAAGUCCCGCAACGAGCGCAACCCUUAUUGUUAGUUGCCAUCAUUAAGUUGGGCACUCUAGCGAGACUGCCGGUAAUAAACCGGAGGAAGGUGGGGAUGACGUCAAAUCAUCAUGCCCCUUAUGACCUGGGCUACACACGUGCUACAAUGGUCGGUACAACGAGUUGCGAGCCGGUGACGGCAAGCUAAUCUCUGAAAGCCGAUCUCAGUUCGGAUUGGAGGCUGCAACUCGCCUCCAUGAAGUCGGAAUCGCUAGUAAUCGCGGAUCAGCACGCCGCGGUGAAUACGUUCCCGGGCCUUGUACACACCGCCCGUCACACCACGAGAGUUUGUAACACCCGAAGUCGGUGAGGUANCCUUUUAGGG
RNAcentral lists this ribosomal RNA (641 nucleotides) under uncultured bacterium. RNAcentral describes it as "bacterial SSU rRNA". It matches the Rfam family "Bacterial small subunit ribosomal RNA", at positions 807 to 1447 of the family's 1533-position model. The record is from RNAcentral.